CCACAGCAGACAUCUAGGCACCACAGCGGACAUCUUUGGACAAUGGGCCACAAGAGAAUUCUCUCUCGGAAGACAGGUUCUCAUGAGCGCUUGUCUCCUGAGAGGGAACUCUCUCUCGGCCCUUCAGCCAAAGUCUCCACUGCUGUGCCUGUCCUCAGCUGACAUCUGUGAGGCGUGGAGAUGGUCAGGGGCAACGGGAGGUGACAACCAUCUGGCUUCUUCACAGAGGACAAAGCUGAGGUCAGGCACAACAAGGACACUUCUUUGCCUGAGGGGCUAAAGUUCCUCUCAGAAACUCUCUCCUGGGCUAACAGCCAAAGAAGUACUGCCACUGAGCCUGCCUAUGGAUUUCUAUGUAGUGAAGAAGGUGGUUGUCAACCUCUAUGCUUCCCAUUGCUCCUGGCUGUUUCAUCCAGUGCUUAAGAGACCUCAGGCAGAGAUACCAUGACUUAAAUUCCCCAAAGUCUUCAGGAAAGCCUCUCCCCCCCACCCACCAUUUGGAACAGCUGCACUAGAAAUAGGAUGGCCAACACCCUUUAAAGUACAGGCUUUCCCCCUGAUUGACAAGACUGGCAGCCUCCUUAAUAUUCCCAAAGGUCUGCAGCCAGUUUCUUGUCUGUAUGAGGUUUGCCUGAAACAACAUGAGACAGCAGCCCGGCUUGCUCUACUCAGCUAUGCAGCAGCAAGAGCACAAGGCUUUCUGGGGGACGUCAAGAGCUAGUGCCAAAAGAAACUGAAAUUAAUUGGCUCUGGAUACACAGACGUGAGAUCUAUAUUCAAUGUGGGUUCCUUCUAGCUUUGGAGAUGGGCACCUGUCUUGCCUGCUACUAGGAUGGUUGCAUUUUUGAUAUUACUGUAAUUUGUAUCCGAUGUAA
Molecule: long non-coding RNA, 875 nt
Organism: Hemicordylus capensis (graceful crag lizard)
Lineage: Eukaryota; Metazoa; Chordata; Lepidosauria; Squamata; Cordylidae
Exons: 3
Source: RefSeq, a predicted model, not a curated record